This 67-nucleotide transfer RNA is filed under the name Burkholderiales bacterium 70-64. RNAcentral's name for it is "tRNA-Pro". It matches the Rfam family "tRNA". From Rfam's summary of the family: Transfer RNA (tRNA) molecules are approximately 80 nucleotides in length. Their secondary structure includes four short double-helical elements and three loops (D, anti-codon, and T loops). Lineage: Bacteria; Pseudomonadati; Pseudomonadota; Betaproteobacteria; Burkholderiales. The record is from RNAcentral.
GGCGUAGCUCAGCCUGGUAGAGUGCUUGCUUUGGGAGCAAGAUGUCGGAGGUUCGAAUCCUCUCGCC